AUUGGAAGUAAAAGUCGUAACAAGGUUUCCGUAGGUGAACCUGCGGAAGGAUCAUUCACAAUGAGUGUUUUAUGGCACUCUUUAAAAAUCCAUAUCCACCUUGUGUGCAAUGUUUGUUGGGAGAGAGGCAACUCUUUCCCUUCACAAAUAUCAACCUAUAUCUUUAACAACAUUCGUCUGAUAACAUAUUAUGAAUAUACUUAAUUCAAAAUAUAACUUUCAACAACGGAUCUCUUGGCUCUCGCAUCGAUGAAGAACGCAGCGAAAUGCGAUACGUAAUGUGAAUUGCAGAAUUCAGUGAAUCAUCGAAUCUUUGAACGCAUAUUGCGCUCUUUGGUAUUCCGAAGAGCAUGCUUGUUUGAGUAUCAGUAAACACCUCAACCUCCUCUUGUUUUUUCAAAAGGAGGGUGGACUUGAGCUAUCCCAACAACCUUCACCGGUAGGCGGGCGGCUUGAAAUGCAGGUGCAGCUGGACUUUUAUCUGAGCUAAAAGCAUAUCUAUUUAGUCCUCGUCAAACAGGAUUAUUACUAUUGCUGCAGCUAACAUAAAGGAUAAUUGUCCUCAUUGCUGACUGAUGCAGGAUUUUACGACACUUUAUGUGUUGUUCAACUCGAUCUCAAAUCAAG
This 627-nucleotide ribosomal RNA is filed under the name uncultured fungus. Its description in RNAcentral is "eukaryotic LSU rRNA". The stretch from base 215 to 368 matches the Rfam family "5.8S ribosomal RNA". The record is from RNAcentral. Lineage: Eukaryota; Fungi.